Long non-coding RNA from Vespula pensylvanica (western yellowjacket), 328 nucleotides. RefSeq lists it as uncharacterized. Lineage: Eukaryota; Metazoa; Arthropoda; Insecta; Hymenoptera; Vespidae. The record is from RefSeq and is a predicted model, not a curated record. The transcript has 3 exons.
GGCCGAGUAUGCAGCAGUUUCAAUCUUCCCGAUAUGAAAAUGAGACCGUUUGCAGCAGAAAACCGAAAAAACAGAAGUAUCUUUCGAAGAAGUUUAAGAAGCAUCCGAGUUAUAUGAAAAUUUAGGAUUUGGAAUACAUUAUUCAUCGACGGUGACAUGUGCCUUUGGUAUAGCUCGAAUUUAAAAGAAGGAGAAAAACGAAAAUACACGUCUACCUUAUGCGUGUGAUGGAGCACAUAUUGAGUUACUGUAGUAACGAUCUGCAAUAUUUUAUUAUUGAGGAUUAUCAAUGUUUCCAUAUAUUUUUGCCGACCUUUUGAAGAUAUUA